Molecule: ribosomal RNA, 642 nt
Filed under: uncultured bacterium
Lineage: Bacteria
Description: bacterial SSU rRNA
Rfam family: Bacterial small subunit ribosomal RNA
Source: RNAcentral
CAAAGGUUAAUUCCGGUGGCGGAUGGGCAUGCGUCACAUUAGUUAGUUGGCGGUGUAACGGACCACCAAGACGACGAUGCGUAGGGGUUCCGAGAGGAAGGUCCCCCACACUGGUACUGAGACACGGACCAGACUCCUGCGGGAGGCAGCAGUGAGGAAUAUUGGUCAAUGGGCGGGAGCCUGAACCAGCCAAGUCGCGUGAGGGAUGACGGCCCUAUGGGUUGUAAACCUCUUUUGCCGGGGAGCAAAGUGCCGCACGUGUGCGGUUUGGAGAGUACCCGGAGAAAAAGCAUCGGCUAACUCCGUGCCAGCAGCCGCGGUAAUACGGAGGAUGCGAGCGUUAUCCGGAUUUAUUGGGUUUAAAGGGUGCGUAGGCGGACGCUUAAGUCAGCGGUAAAAUUGCGGGGCUCAACCUCGUCGAGCCGUUGAAACUGGGUGCCUUGAGUGGGCGAGAAGUACGCGGAAUGCGUGGUGUAGCGGUGAAAUGCAUAGAUAUCACGCAGAACUCCGAUUGCGAAGGCAGCGUACCGGCGCCCAACUGACGCUGAAGCACGAAGGCGUGGGUAUCGAACAGGAUUAGAUACCCUGGUAGUCCACGCAGUAAACGAUGAAUGCUAGUUGUCCGGGGCGAUUGAGUUCUGG